UGGGGAAUAUUGGACAAUGGGCGAAAGCCUGAUCCAGCAAUGCCGCGUGAGUGAUGAAGGCCUUAGGGUUGUAAAGCUCUUUUACCCGGGAUGAUAAUGACAGUACCGGGAGAAUCAGCCCCGGCUAACUCCGUGCCAGCAGCCGCGGUAAUACGAAGGUGGCUAGCGUUGUUCGGAAUUACUGGGCGUAAAGCGCACGUAGGCGGAUCGAUCAGUCAGGGGUGAAAUCCCAGGGCUCAACCCUGGAACUGCCUUUGAUACUGUCGAUCUGGAGUAUGGAAGAGGUGAGUGGAAUUCCGAGUGUAGAGGUGAAAUUCGUAGAUAUUCGGAGGAACACCAGUGGCGAAGGCGGCUCACUGGUCCAUUACUGACGCUGAGGUGCGAAAGCGUGGGGAGCAAAC
Molecule: ribosomal RNA, 401 nt
Filed under: uncultured bacterium
Lineage: Bacteria
Description: bacterial SSU rRNA
Rfam family: Bacterial small subunit ribosomal RNA
Source: RNAcentral